Molecule: long non-coding RNA, 1556 nt
Organism: Alosa sapidissima (American shad)
Lineage: Eukaryota; Metazoa; Chordata; Actinopteri; Clupeiformes; Clupeidae
Exons: 2
Source: RefSeq, a predicted model, not a curated record
ACCACAUCCUGUCAUUGUUACAUUACAUAUUUUCAACUGAAUUCAACUGUUUGCUUUAUUAGAGAGAAACAAUGACAAGAGAAGGAGGUUCACACAGACUCAGAAGAAUGAAAAGAGUUUGGCUUUUUCUAUUUGCUUGUAUCUUUGUUGUCGUGUGUGUAUCUGUGUUUGUGUAUUUAUAUGUAGCCAAAAAUAAUGACGACAAAAACGAUAAAAGUCAUUCAGUUAAUACUGAUGUUGAAGUUACAUUCGAACUUGAUAAUGAAUAUGAUGGUGAUGGUGAUUAUGAGUAUGACGAUCCACCAAAUAACACAACAACUCUCAAGAACAAUGUAUCAGCCACAGCUGAGUCUGUUGUUCCAGUUAUAUUCAAGGGUUAAAGUUAGGGGGAAUGGGGAGGAACGCAGUUCCGCCACCUCAGAUAAAUAAUAAAUACAUUCUUUCAUAUCAAUGAUAUAGCGCAAUGAUAUUGUUAAAAUAAAUAGUGAGUUAAUUUUUCGUGUGAAUAUGCUGUCCAACGGUGAGUCAUUUUUCCCCGUUGCACCGACACUGGAUUUUAGGGUUCCCUCAGCUGCUAAAUCCCACUUUAACCACUGGUUAUAUUCACACUUCAUGGUGAGGGUGAUGGCUAUGAUUAUGAGUAUACCAAUCAACCAGACGACACGGACCAUACCACAACUCUCAGGACUAGUCCCUCUACCAGCCCUUUAUGAUGAAUGAGACACCUGGGCAUGAGGAUCACCUUGAAGAUACACCUGCCUCCAUUUUAUUAACACAUAAGGAUUAUGUUGGCAGUGAGUAUGACAAUCUCCCUCUUUCUUCUUCACUGAUUAAGCAUGUGGGACUACUUGCCUAACCACAGAAAACACCGGAAGCUUGCUCGCCCUCUUCAUCUUUUGAGAACACUGGUGGUGGCUGUGGUAACUGUACGGCAUAGGGUUCAACAGCCUCUUAAGUGUUCCUCAACACCCAUAAAGUGCAGCAUGUUAAACAAGAAAAAAAAUCACUUAAAAUGUCAUAGCACAAAAUUCUGAGCUUAUUUUUCUGUGUGUUAUGUUUUAUUUAUCUUUCCUGUGAUUUGGAUGUAGGCUAGUGGUUGGACAAGAUGUUUUAUGUUAGUCUACUGCACUGCAGCAGACAGGGUAUCAGUUUCACAAGGUGGGAUUGUUAAGUACAAUCUAAAUGUGAACCGAAACCAAAAGAACUGUCAAACGUUCACACUGACUUAGAAAAAUAUAAAUAAAAGGUUGCAGUUUGCUUGUGUCAUUCUUGUUGGUUAGUUUCAGGUAAAUUUAGUUGCAAGCUAAUUCAUCUAACCACUUUGUACAUGCAUUGCAUUGGCUGUUUUAACCACUUGCUUAACUGCAUUUAUAAUCCUGCACUGACAUUAUUGUGUGUGUGUGUGUGUGACUAGCAUGACUAUCAACUAGACUACAGAGCAACACCCAGUCACCUGAACAACAUUUUACCAUUUCUAAAGACAUACCCUCCUGAGAACCGAGAAAAAAAGUGUCCUCCAAUUUCUUUUAUGUUCCGUUUUCCUAUCUGUUUAGGAU